GUGGGGAAUAUUGGACAAUGGGCGCAAGCCUGAUCCAGCCAUGCCGCGUGAGUGAUGAAGGCCUUAGGGUUGUAAAGCUCUUUUAGCAGGGACGAUAAUGACGGUACCUGCAGAAAAAGCCCCGGCCAACUUCGUGCCAGCAGCCGCGGUAAUACGAAGGGGGCUAGCGUUGCUCGGAAUCACUGGGCGUAAAGCGCACGUAGGUGGGUCGUUAAGUCGGGGGUGAAAUCCCAGAGCUCAACUCUGGAACUGCCUUCGAUACUGGCGACCUUCGAGUUCGGGAGAGGUGAGUGGAACUGCGAGUGUAGAGGUGAAAUUCGUAGAUAUUCGCAAGAACACCAGUGGCGAAGGCGGCUCACUGGCCCGAUACUGACACUGAGGUGCGAAAGCGUGGGGAGCAAACAGGAUUAGAAACCCCAGUAGUCC
This 426-nucleotide ribosomal RNA is filed under the name uncultured bacterium. RNAcentral's name for it is "bacterial SSU rRNA". It matches the Rfam family "Bacterial small subunit ribosomal RNA", at positions 354 to 796 of the family's 1533-position model. The record is from RNAcentral.